Molecule: ribosomal RNA, 449 nt
Filed under: uncultured bacterium
Lineage: Bacteria
Description: partial 16S ribosomal RNA
Rfam family: Bacterial small subunit ribosomal RNA
Source: RNAcentral
AACGAACGCUGGCGGCAUGCCUAACACAUGCAAGUCGAACGAGAUCUUCGGGUCUAGUGGCGCACGGGUGCGUAACGCGUGGGAAUCUGCCCUUUGGUUCGGAAUAACAGUUGGGAACGACUGCUAAUACCGGAUGAUGACGAAAGUCCAAAGAUUUAUCGCCAGAGGAUGAGCCCGCGUAGGAUUAGCUAGUUGGUGUGGUAAAGGCGCACCAAGGCGACGAUCCUUAGCUGGUCUGAGAGGAUGAUCAGCCACACUGGGACUGAGACACGGGCCAGACUCCUACGGGAGGCAGCAGUGGGGAAUAUUGGACAAUGGGCGAAAGCCUGAUCCAGCAAUGCCGCGUGAGUGAUGAAGGCCUUAGGGUUGUAAAGCUCUUUUACCCGGGAUGAUAAUGACAGUACCGGGAGAAUAAGCUCCGGCUAACUCCGUGCCGGCCGCCGCCGUAA